CCACAUUCUGCCCUGAUGGAGCUGGGCUUGGUGCCCAGUAAAAGUACAGAGGAUCCUUGUGCCAUGACUGUUUGGCCAGCCCUAGUGCCAGGGGGCUGUCUGGCAGUGCUCAUAGUUCUCUGGAGUGCAGCCAGGAUCUGCCAGGCAGUCUGACUCCAUCCAGAAGCUUCUCAACCAGAUGAAGAAGUGAUGUCUGUGAUCUGCUUUGGGGAGGGACUUCUCAAGUAACUGUGACUUAAAAUAUACCCUGCCUGACUCAGAGGGGCACUGUCAUCUUGGAAUUCAAAGUAAAUCAACAGUCUGUCACCUAAAUGGAACAGAAACUAUCAGCAUUUUGGUGAUGGAGCAGGUUAAUGCAUUUGACCCUAGGUCAGUCCUCACUCUCUGGAAUUCUGAAGCUGUAUUGGAUUCUGGAAGGCAUGCUGGGAUGCAUCUUGCGGUUUCCAAGACACCUCCACUGUUUUGAACAUACAGGUGCCAACAUAUAUUCAAACAAGAAUCAUCUGAAAUAAGGAUUCGGAAGAAGCACAAUUUUGUGUAAACAUAUCUGAAAUUUAAGAACCUUUAAAUAAUGGGUCAUGUAUAUGGUCUCUGUCUACUCAUUAUAGACUUAAUG
Molecule: long non-coding RNA, 616 nt
Filed under: Homo sapiens (human)
Lineage: Eukaryota; Metazoa; Chordata; Mammalia; Primates; Hominidae
Description: HSALNT0358861
Source: RNAcentral